This 133-nucleotide ribosomal RNA is filed under the name Pseudomonas viridiflava. Its description in RNAcentral is "partial 23S ribosomal RNA". It matches the Rfam family "Bacterial large subunit ribosomal RNA", at positions 1 to 132 of the family's 2925-position model. RNAcentral also lists the same sequence under 1 other name. Lineage: Bacteria; Pseudomonadati; Pseudomonadota; Gammaproteobacteria; Pseudomonadales; Pseudomonadaceae. The record is from RNAcentral.
GGUCAAGUGAAGAAGCGCAUACGGUGGAUGCCUUGGCAGUCAGAGGCGAUGAAAGACGUGGUAGCCUGCGAAAAGCUUCGGGGAGUCGGCAAACAGACUGUGAUCCGGAGAUGUCUGAAUGGGGGAACCCAGC